Molecule: transfer RNA, 74 nt
Filed under: Schizosaccharomyces japonicus
Lineage: Eukaryota; Fungi; Ascomycota; Schizosaccharomycetes; Schizosaccharomycetales; Schizosaccharomycetaceae
Also listed under: 1 other name
Description: SJAG_16043.1
Rfam family: tRNA
About the family: Transfer RNA (tRNA) molecules are approximately 80 nucleotides in length. Their secondary structure includes four short double-helical elements and three loops (D, anti-codon, and T loops).
Source: RNAcentral
GCUCCCGUGGCCUAAUUGGCUAGGGCAUAUGACUUCUAAUCAUGGGAUUGUGGGUUCGAGUCCCGCCGGGAGCU